AAGACUAUACUUUCAGGGAUCAUUUCUAUAGUAUGUUACUAGAGAAGUUUCUCUGAUUGUGUAGAGUACCGAAAACCACGAGGAGGAGCUGAGUGGUCUCUCCUGAGCGUGAAGCUGGUUCUGGGUGUUGCUUUAUUGCCUUUUUUUUUAAGAGAGAGAGAAUUUUAAUAUUUAUUUUUUAGUUUUCGGCGGACAUAACAUCUUUGU
Marmota monax (woodchuck) is the source of this 207-nucleotide small nucleolar RNA. RefSeq annotates it as small nucleolar RNA U3. The transcript has a single exon. The record is from RefSeq and is a predicted model, not a curated record. Lineage: Eukaryota; Metazoa; Chordata; Mammalia; Rodentia; Sciuridae.